This 74-nucleotide transfer RNA is filed under the name Planctomycetota bacterium. RNAcentral describes it as "Planctomycetes bacterium (activated sludge metagenome) tRNA-Arg". It matches the Rfam family "tRNA". Rfam says of the family: Transfer RNA (tRNA) molecules are approximately 80 nucleotides in length. Their secondary structure includes four short double-helical elements and three loops (D, anti-codon, and T loops). Further hydrogen bonds mediate the characteristic L-shaped molecular structure. tRNAs have two regions of fundamental functional importance: the anti-codon, which is responsible for specific mRNA codon recognition, and the 3' end, to which the tRNAs corresponding amino acid is attached (by aminoacyl-tRNA synthetases). tRNAs cope with the degeneracy of the genetic code in two manners: having more than one tRNA (with a specific anti-codon) for a particular amino acid; and 'wobble' base-pairing, i.e. permitting non-standard base-pairing at the 3rd anti-codon position. Lineage: Bacteria; Pseudomonadati; Planctomycetota. The record is from RNAcentral.
GUCCCCGUAGCUCAGCUGGAUAGAGCGGCGGUUUUCUAAACCGCUGGUCGCAGGUUCGAUUCCUGCCGGGGACG